UCCGGUUGAUCCUGCCGGAGGCCAUUGCUAUUGGGAUCCGAUUUAGCCAUGCUAGUCGUACGGGUUCAUACUCGUGGCGAAUAGCUCAGUAACACGUGGCCAAACUACCCUUCGGAGCACCAUACCCUCGGGAAACUGAGGUUAAUAGUGCAUACCAUACCACCACUGGAAUGAGUGGUAUGCCAAACGCUCCGGCGCCGAAGGAUGUGGCUGCGGCCGAUUAGGUAGACGGUGGGGUAACGGCCCACCGUGCCAAUAAUCGGUAUGGGUCAUGAGAGUGAGAACCCAGAGACGGAAUCUGAGACAAGAUUCCGGGCCCUACGGGGCGCAGCAGGCGCGAAACCUUUACACUGCACGACAGUGCGAUAGGGGGAUCCCAAGUGCACAGGCAUAGCGCCUGUGCUUUUCGGUACCCUAAGGCGGUACCAGAAUAAGGGCUGGGCAAGACCGGUGCCAGCCGCCGCGGUAAUACCGGCAGCCCGAGUGAUGGCCGAUCUUAUUGGGCCUAAAGCGUCCGUAGCUGGCCACGCAAGUCCAUCGGGAAAUCCACCUGCUCAACAGGUGGACGCCCGGUAGAAACUGCAUGGCUUGGGACCGGAAGGCGCGACGGGUACGUCCGGGGUAGGAGUGAAAUCCCGUAAUCCUGGACGGACCGCCGAUGGCGAAAGCACGUCGCGAGAACGGAUCCGACAGUGAGGGACGAAAGCCAGGGUCUCGAACCGGAUUAGAUACCCGGGUAGUCCUGGCCGUAAACAAUGUCUGCUAGGUGUGGCUCCCACUACGAGUGGGUGCUGUGCCGCAGGGAAGCCGCUAAGCAGACCGCCUGGGAAGUACGUCCGCAAGGAUGAAACUUAAAGGAAUUGGCGG
Molecule: ribosomal RNA, 867 nt
Filed under: uncultured archaeon
Lineage: Archaea
Description: bacterial SSU rRNA
Rfam family: Archaeal small subunit ribosomal RNA
Source: RNAcentral